GUUUAACUCCAAGAAUUGAAUUAUUUCAUUGUAUUUUAUAAGUAUUUAAAUGUUAGUUCAUUAAGAUCAAAUUAAAUAAAAUUUAAUUUGUCAUUUCAUCGUCAACAUUAUCUACAGUAAGACAAUAAUGUCUCUCUCUGUGUGCUAUAUGGUGUGUUCCAGGAAAUAGGCAUCCAAUCUAAAAAAGCUAAACUGUAAACGAAAAGCUCUUUAUUUAAGCUUUCAACUUUUAACCGAUUCACUACAAUCAAGUGGAAAACAAAACAUCAAUAACAAUUCGUUUUCCAAUUGCAUAAUAUCUUUGAGUAAUAUUUUUCUUCAUACCAGAACAACUCAAAGUAAUCAUUUCCAGGGUUACCCUGUCAAACCUGUCAAAAUUGGUUUUAUAAUGGUAAAGUUAUCAAGUAAAGGCAUAAAAAAAGAUGAUUGAUUACUUGGAUGGUCAACUGUAUAUAUAAAGACUUACAUAAAAAGAAGCAUUAGAGGAAGUUCAUCAAAGGCCAAUACAAAUUCAAGUGUUGAAGGUACUUCAUUAACCUGAAAGUUUUACACGAAAAAAAACCUACUUGUUUGCUGUCAGAGUUUUGGGUGAUGUAUUCAUUUUGGCCUUAAGACUUUUUUAUCUGGAUUGCUAUCUGGAAAUCCAUUUUCGUCUACAUAACCACAGAGAUUAACUUGGUUGGAUCAAAGAGCGAAAGUAUUAUUAUUAUGAUUAUUAUUGACUAAUCAUUUCGACACAUUCACUUGUUCAUCAAGGAUUAAAUGGUAAUGUAACUAAAUAUUAAAAAAGAUCUACAGCUUUAAGGUAUAUACAAAUUAUUAAAGGCAGCUACAUACACACACACACAUAUAUAGAUGUACAGAGACUAAAAUGGCAGCAAAUGGAUCCACGUUUAACCAGAUUGUCGAAACAAAUUAAGACUAAUGAUAGUCUAAUUAGUUAAUAAUUCGCUAAUGGAAAAGCUGAUUCUUCAGUUGAGCUUGCAGUUAUCAACAAUAUUAAUAUACAUCAAGACUUGAAGCAAAAGGGUUACUCUUUUGUUGUGUGUUGGAUUGUAAGGAUAAAAGAGUCCAAAAUGCAAAAAGAUGGAAAGUGAAUGAAACAAGAACAUGUAAUGUUUAAAUAGCUCUCUUGGGUCAUAUUUUUUCAAAAGAGUAACUAACAUUUACUCAAUUUUGCCUUCUUAACAGCGUUUUUAGCUACAUUGUUAUUGAAAAACAAAGCGCAAAAAUUGUUUCCUUCAACAUUGUUGAUUGUUUUUUUGCUGCUGCUUCUGCUGCUCACCUGUUUCAUUCAAAAUUCACAUUCACAAUUCAACCUAAGCUACCAGUUAUUAACAGUUAAUAGUAUUUAUUUCAUUUACUAUUACAUUAUUACCAUCCUUUGAAUCUUUUUCCGUCAUUAUUACAACUUUUCAUCUCAUAAUUUUCCACUUUCUCUCUUCAUUCUCAUCUAAAUUAUUAAUUUCAUUUCAUUUUUCAUUUACAUUUUCUUCUAGAUUCUGGCUACAUCAAUGCAAGUUGAUCAAGUAAAAGCACGAUGUUGGAUUCCACUCCUUUACAAUACAACCCACACAAAGCUAAUUUAAAGUUUCAACACUCUCUAAUUAAAUCAAAUCAACUCAUUUCAAUCAUCUCUAACAAGUCAACAACAGCAGUAAUGGCCAAUAAACCUAAUGUUUCCCCAUCAAAAUCAACAUCUUUCAAUAUAAUGAAUUUCAUUGUUUUUUUGUUUCUUCAAGACUGGAAACUCUGUACAACUGAUCAUCAUCAUCUUCAACAUUAUCCUUUUGCUUUUCUACUUUUGUAUUUUUCAACAUCAACCUCUACAUUACAAGCAAUAAUGAUAACUUUCAAGGAAAACUUCAGUCUAUAAACCAAUCAUCUGAUCAUCAUUAAAUUGUCCCUUUCAAGAAUCAAACUAAAAUUACUCUAAUCAUAUGUUACAUUACCACAUACACACGAUUGUCCACCAUGAAGCAAUUAAGAUUGAACCACAAGAAAAGGGUUACCUUUAUUUUCCCUCUCAAUGCAUUUGUUAAAUUGGAAACGAGUCGAUUCCUUCAUUGAUCCAUCAAAACUCACCGAGGACAACAUUAAAAUCAUCAAUCAUCUAAUUAAAGGAUAAAUAAACGAGGUAACAAUCGGUAAACCAAAUGCAAUCAAGUAAACAUUGCCUAUUUAAAACCUUAAUUGUAACUUUCAUCUAAUUUGACUUUUUCUUCCUCAUUUGCCUUCUAAAUAUUCAUCUUUUGAUUUCCAGUUUUAACCUUUCCAGAAAUUCAGACAAUGAUAGAAACACUAAUUUGUUUCAUUUUAACCCAACUGAUCAUUUUACAUCAUUCUUUGUAUGAUUUACUAAUUGAGUUCUCUAUUUGUUUUCACAGGAUGAUGAUUAAUUUGGGUUCCAUGGUUAUAUACGUUCAUCAUUCAUCACUUGAGACUGCAAAUUAAUGUCUUGUAAUUUCAUUGGUUUCGUCUGGUUCUUAUUGGGAAUCCAUUGAAAGCUUGUUUUCCUUUCCUUUUCCAACAAAAAUAUGAUUAUGAUCAAUAAUGAUUUCAACUGAUGAUGGAUUUUGAAAAAUGAAGUUAAGCCUAAAUAUCGAGACUUAUUUAUCAUCAAAAUAACCAAGCAAACUGAACCAAUGGCUUAUCAAAGCUGGCUUUUUUUCAUGGCGAUACAAGGAAAAAA
Non-coding RNA from Tetranychus urticae (two-spotted spider mite), 2692 nucleotides. The record is from RefSeq and is a predicted model, not a curated record. NCBI's taxonomy places the organism in Eukaryota, Metazoa, Arthropoda, Arachnida, Trombidiformes, Tetranychidae.